Molecule: non-coding RNA, 532 nt
Organism: Cinara cedri
Lineage: Eukaryota; Metazoa; Arthropoda; Insecta; Hemiptera; Aphididae
Source: the annotation of a GenBank genome assembly
CAAAAAAACUUAUGUAUACCUUUUUAUUUUCUAUUUUUUAUUAGAUAUCAAUUGUUAUAAUUUAGAUGAUUUGAAAACCCAAAUUGUUGCGAAUAUCUACCCAAAUGUCUGUGAUUGAAAUGAUUCAAUGGCCUUUUUAUUUUAAAUUUUGAAAAUUAUCUGAAAAAUAUUAAUAACAGCUUUUUUAAAUAAAAAUAGAUAGUAUAUUGUACUGAAAUGAAUAUAUUUAUUAUGUUGAAAGUACCCUAUAAUUGGCAUUUUUUAUUUUAACAGAUAUUAAAUUGGUUAUAAUUAAAUUAAUUUAAUACCUAAUAAUUUCUGUUUAGAAUACCAUAAAAAUGUUUAAAAUAAGGUACCAAAUAGUUUUUGUAAUUUACUAUGAUUAAAUUAUUCAGCCCCCCGCUUCAAUGAUUUCACCAAAUUUCCGCCUAUGGUCCUCGAGGUGGGUUUACACGUUAAAUUGUGCUUAUGCUAACUGACUUGUACAAAUUAAACUUAUGCAGAUGACGAAUAUUCAAUAAAGUGUUUAUAG